UACCAGCACCCCGAGUGGUGGGGACGUUUAUUGGGCCUAAAGCAUCCGUAGCCGGUUCUACAAGUCUUCCGUUAAAUCCACCUGCUUAACAGAUGGGCUGCGGAAGAUACUAUGGAGCUAGGAGGCGGGAGAGGCAAGCGGUACUCGAUGGGUAGGGGUAAAAUCCGUUGAUCCAUUGAAGACCACCAGUGGCGAAGGCGGCUUGCCAGAACGCGCUCGACGGUGAGGGAUGAAAGCUGGGGGAGCAAACCGG
This 253-nucleotide ribosomal RNA is filed under the name uncultured bacterium. RNAcentral's name for it is "partial 16S ribosomal RNA". It matches the Rfam family "Archaeal small subunit ribosomal RNA", at positions 474 to 727 of the family's 1478-position model. The record is from RNAcentral.